UUCUGGGUGAGUUGAAGCACAUGGAAAGCAGCGUCCAUUGUGGAUUCAGAAGCUCCCGAAAGGGCAAAAUGCAGAAGAUGAGCACAAAGAAAAAGGGCAGGGACCCACCAGUGAAAUUAACAUCCAGUUGUGGGGUAUGGGCAAUACCUAAGAAUACUGCUUCAUCUUUCAUAUCCUUGAGAUGGAGUCAAACUACUGACAAUAAAUAUUUAAAUCCCCUGUAGAGGGCUUCACAUCUCUUGUAAAAUGAGGGGAAGAAAGUGGAUUGGUAAAAGAUAGGUGGAAGAUCAAUUCACAAGUCUCAUGGCAAAAUGAAUAUUGAACUGCUCAGUGGCUUUGGAAACCAUUUUACAUGCAAAAAGGGUAAGUAGUGCAGCUACAACUUCAUGUUUUUAUUCAGAUUUUCAUGUGUGGCAAAGACAAAGGAAAGCUGAUGUGAUCUCUUGUUUUUACAUCUUAGACAAUUUUGAUGUUAAGUUUGAAAGUAACAACCCUUAAAAGGAGCAAAUGUUUGAAAGUGGCCCCUAAAUUGUAUUUGUUAACAAAUUCCUAACCCUAGCAACCCUCUGAAAGUACCAAAUUACCUCAAA
This is a long non-coding RNA of Orbicella faveolata, 590 nucleotides long. The record is from RefSeq and is a predicted model, not a curated record. NCBI's taxonomy places the organism in Eukaryota, Metazoa, Cnidaria, Anthozoa, Scleractinia, Merulinidae.